AAUGAGAAUUUAUGGUGCCAAUCAGUGUUUUAGGGAUUUCUACAUGUUACUUAAUUCUACAUUCACAAUAAUUAUGCAAAAUUUUUACAUAAUGGGCAAAGAACGUAAGAGAACUAGGAAAUUUGACUUUGGUGUCUUAGCUAGUAAAUAGUCAGAUAAGAAUAUAAAACCCAGUUAUGUCUGAAUACUUUGCCUCUAUAAUGCAGUGUCUCCAUAGAGCUCCAUUUAUAGCAUAGGCAAAUAUUGUUUUUAUCAGUGUAUAAUUUGCUUCUUUAUCCCUCUCCUCUACAUUGUUUUUAUGCUCUCCUAUUGUUCAAUAUCUUCCAAUUUUCUUUUGUUCAAGUUCACCACUGUCAUGCUCCAAACAACCCAAAGUCAUUUCCUGACCUUCCAUGCUUUCCAUAAAACCUUAUCUGUCUCUUAUCUAAUUCAUUCCACCCUUUUUAUUUUCCUAAAUAACGCUAAUAUUUCAUUGGUUCUAAAGUAUUCAUGAAUGUAACAAGGCAACGUAGAGACAAUAUGGUCACCAAAGACCUGUUUACUAUGAGGAAAAUAAUAAAAAUCUGGUUAAUCAAAAUUCAGUAAUAUAGAAUUCUUAAAUUUCCAAAAUGGCUCUGGAACAAAACCAGAAAAUUACAGCCCCUGAAUUGAAAUGAAGUUGCAGUCAGCCCAUGAACAAGCAAUAAACACCGAACAAGAAUCACAGAGCCCAUCAUUUUAUUUGAUUCUUCAAGUUCAUGGCAAAGAAGGCAGCUGUCCCUUAGAGAAAGGCUUUUAUGUUUUUUGUUUUUGUUUUUAUAACAUGAGUAAGAAUUGGAUGCAAAAUAAAUUGAAAAAUUGGAGAAAAAAGGCAGGGGAGAAGUACACCAGACUUCAGGGUUGGCAGCAUUGGUUUUAACAAUAGUGAUCAGGGUGGGGCAGUGACAGAAAACUCAAAGGCAGGCAGGCAUGAACAGCAGACAUCUGAACAGCAGAGAAAAAAACAUGAUGACAAAGAAAUGAAGAAAGAGCAUCUGUGCAUCAGGGCAAGAGGUGAAAAGAGGUAUGCUCAUCUUUAGUCUAACCCUUUGAUAAAGGGGAAAAGUCAAAGGCUUUGAAGUUUCUAACUGAGGGUUAAAAGAGAAAUCUGUCCUGGAUAAUAUAAUCAAAGACACCAAACUUCGAUAAUCAAACAAGGGCUUGCAUUAUACUUUGUGAUGUUCCCAUCAAUUUCUAAAAGUAUACAAACUACUAAUUUUAAGGUUUCACAAAAAAAAACAUGAUAUAAUUUUAAAUGUUUCAGGAGGUCACAAAACUAGGAAGAAGCAUCAGAAUUUGGAUGUUUAACACAGCUAUAACUAAACCAAAGGCCACUAAGAACUCUUAAAGAUUUUCCCAGCUCAAAUAUUCUACAUAUAUUCCUUUUAGUUAUUACUUGUGGGAGAUAACUUAAUAAAAUAUCCAAUGUUAAGUUCAAUGUUAAUGGACUUUGUUACCUUUUGUUCACCUCCAUAAAUAUUGACCUACUAUGCAUCAAUUAGGAAGCUGAGCACUAAGGUUUUGAAGAUUAAUAAGCAACCAGCUUCAAAGUAAUCCAGUGGGGGAACCACAUAUAAAUAUAUCAUGCCAAUGUGAUCUUGUAAAGUCAUAAUAUGAUACAGAUAAGCCUGGGCAUUAUACCAACAUACAGAAAAGGCAUGUGUCCUAGCCUAGGGUAUAGGAGAUGCAUAUUAGAGAAAAUGAUGACAAUGCUCAAUCUUGAAGAAACAGUCUACAAUUAAGCAAUAAUAAAACAUCAAUGAGCCUUUUUCCUCUGAUUAUUUGGAAAAGUUUAGGCAACCUUUAAAGUGCAAAGUAUCAGAGAAGCAUUAAGGCUAUAGGAAAAGAUUCACAUACACCAUUUUUGUUUAAUGAUUUUUACUUAUGAUCUACUAUAAUUACUCAAAAUAGACAUUUCUUAUAUCCUGUAUUUUGGGCUCAGAUUUUUAACUUCCUGACCUAGAAAUGCUCAGUUCUUUAGUCUUUCCUACACUAUAUAAUUAUCUAGUCUAUAGAGCAUAGCCCAUAUAGUCAGGAGCAACUAAUUAAGAAUCUAACAUUGUACUUUAUAAAUGGAAUAUAUUUGCUUUAAAAGUUUCUUUCUUAGUUUAUGUCUUAGUGAGGGAUUCAUCAAUCUCAGGUUGCACAUGUUUAAAGCACUCCAUCAUUAGGAAAUAGCAACGAUGAACAUAGAUCAAACCAUAGAUAAAGAGCCUAUCAAAACAAGCAUUUAUUGAAAUCUUCUGUCAUUGUUAGGAGACAAUUUCCUAAGGGUCUCACGUUUCUGCACAUCUUAUGAAAGAAGGAUUGGCUGCUUUUGUUCUGAACUAUUUUUAAAAGAAGUUUGUAAAGCAAAUAACCUUGAAGGUAGAACUAGCAUCUCCUUGUAAAGUAAGGCAUAAUCAUCCAUUAUAAAAGAUUUGCACUCCUUAAGUUCAGGAUCCCUUUCUUGCACUGUUUAAGCAUCAGCUGGGCUGUUCUGUGUUUUCUUGUGGAAACUAGGACUUAGGGAACCACUGCAAAAAUGCUGAAACUUUUGCUACUGCUAUGAAUAAUAAAUUGUCCUUCAUCUCUGACCCUAAUGUCUUCUGCCACCAUCCAUGAAUCUGUGGCAGGUUUUCAUGACAGUUUGAAACUAGAGUAACAUCUCAAACUCUUCAGAGUUUUUGAUCAUUUUGGUAAUAAGGAUGGGAUGUUGACAUACAUAGACAUGGCUUUCUUUCUUAAAAAAGAAGGAUGAGGGCCUCACAGGUCCAUUAAUGAAUUUGAGGGUAGGUCUACGGGAAUCAGUAGCAAAUAAUAUAAUCUAUUGGCAAUAAAGGUCCUCCACUUUUUUGCCUGGAAUUAAGUAAGCUAAGUAGCAGGAAGUAGGUAAAAUACAGAUGGCAAGAUGCUGUUCUGUUGUUUAUCCUCCUCUAGGUGGAAGGACUUCUUGCAAUCUGGUGGCCAGCCUCUGAUCUGCAGCACAAGUUACAACUAAUACUAAGAUUUGUACUGGGUAGGCAGAAGGUUGCUUCCUAUUUCAGACAACAGAGGAAUGCACACACAAAUUGAGUAUGAAAGGGAAAAUUCCAUAACAGAACCCAGGUGGAUCAUUAGAAUUUUGACUGGCUCACAUGAGAAAGAAGGAGCAUGGAGAACAGGGCUUAUUAAGCAAUAAUGGCAAGUAGUAAGUUGUCUUUUUUUUUUUUUUAAUUUAUUUAUGAUAGUCACAGAGAAAGAGAGGCAGAGACAUAGGCAGAGGGAGAAGCAGGCUCCAUGCACCGGGAGCCCGACGUGGGAUUCGAUCCCGGGUCUCCAGGAUCGCGCCCUGGGCCAAAGGCAGGUGCUAAACCGCUGCGCCACCCAGGGAUCCCCAGUAAGUUGUCUUAUAGCUAUCUCUCUCCUGCAUUCUAUUAUGUUAAAUAUAUUCAUCUGGAAGUAACAGUAAAAUUGCUCAGAGUUUUGGUUUCUGUUUUUGUU
This 3480-nucleotide long non-coding RNA is filed under the name Canis lupus familiaris (dog). Its description in RNAcentral is "lncRNA (ENSCAFG00845008393.1)". Lineage: Eukaryota; Metazoa; Chordata; Mammalia; Carnivora; Canidae. The record is from RNAcentral.